This 574-nucleotide ribosomal RNA is filed under the name Salmonella enterica. RNAcentral describes it as "partial 23S ribosomal RNA". It matches the Rfam family "Bacterial large subunit ribosomal RNA", at positions 711 to 1282 of the family's 2925-position model. Lineage: Bacteria; Pseudomonadati; Pseudomonadota; Gammaproteobacteria; Enterobacterales; Enterobacteriaceae. The record is from RNAcentral. RNAcentral also lists the same sequence under 1 other name.
AGACCCGAAACCCGGUGAUCUAGCCAUGGGCAGGUUGAAGGUUGGGUAACACUAACUGGAGGACCGAACCGACUAAUGUUGAAAAAUUAGCGGAUGACCUGUGGCUGGGGGUGAAAGGCCAAUCAAACCGGGAGAUAGCUGGUUCUCCCCGAAAGCUAUUUAGGUAGCGCCUCGUGAAUUCAUCUCCGGGGGUAGAGCACUGUUUCGGCUAGGGGGCCAUCCCGGCUUACCAACCCGAUGCAAACUGCGAAUACCGGAGAAUGUUAUCACGGGAGACACACGGCGGGUGCUAACGUCCGUCGUGAAGAGGGAAACAACCCAGACCGCCAGCUAAGGUCCCAAAGUCAUGGUUAAGUGGGAAACGAUGUGGGAAGGCCCAGACAGCCAGGAUGUUGGCUUAGAAGCAGCCAUCAUUUAAAGAAAGCGUAAUAGCUCACUGGUCGAGUCGGCCUGCGCGGAAGAUGUAACGGGGCUAAACCAUGCACCGAAGCUGCGGCAGCGACACUAUGUGUUGUUGGGUAGGGGAGCGUUCUGUAAGCCUGUGAAGGUGGCCUGUGAGGGUUGCUGGAGGUAU